Molecule: long non-coding RNA, 1032 nt
Organism: Lolium perenne
Lineage: Eukaryota; Viridiplantae; Streptophyta; Magnoliopsida; Poales; Poaceae
Source: RefSeq, a predicted model, not a curated record
AAAACCAAAUGCGCAUCACUUCUUGCACAUGGUAUUGUGUAUCCGCAAUGCAUUAAAGGAUCCCCAGUGGAAAGUGAAUGCAGAUAUGAUGAAUUUUUCUAUCUCUAUGGGUACGAAGUUCGAUAAGUACUGGAAGGAGGUCAACUAAAGUAAUGCACUUGUAAUCGCCACAAUACUAGAUCCAAGGAAAAAGGAAGAGUACCUAAACUUCUUUUUGAAAAGUAUUGUGAGCAGCCCUUUGACACUGAGGAGACCGUGAAUGUUAUAAGCAAAGCGGUCAGGUUGUACUAUGAUCUAUACGAACAACAGAUCAAGCUAAGAAGCAACGAGCACUCGGUGUCUCGUGAAGCCCGGAUUAAUAUGGGCUCACCUGUUCUUGGUGAAAGGAAACUUGAAGAAGAGUUUGCUCAGUACUGGUCAAGGAGGAGAGCCAACACACAACCAUGGUCAGAGUUGGACGCAUACGUGGAUGAGGUUUUCAUUGAAAGCUCAGCUGGAACUACUGAUAUAGUCACAUGGUGGAAAUCAAAUGCCGAAAAAUACCCGGUGCUCUCAGCUAUGGCUCGUGAUUUUCUUGCAGUGCCUCUUAGUAUUGUGUCAUCCGAGUCAGCAUUUAGUUGCGGUGGAAGAAUUCUAGGAGAUACACGGGCCUCACUAAAACCACAUGCACUGGAAGCUUUAGUUUGCGGAAAGGACUGACUUCUUAAAGUCCCGAGCAAUGAAGGUUCAAGCACGGGAGGUCCAAGCUCGGAGGUCCAAGUUCAGGAGUUGGAUGGUCAGAUUGUCUAAUCUAAAGGACUUGAAUUCUCUCAAGAGCAUGGCUGGGGAGACUGGAAGAAGUUGGCAUCUGAGUCAUCCAUGACUGUCGAACUGUAAUGCUAUUUGGGCGACCACCGUGGGAGACCUCUAACCAUGAGCGGAGCAGUAGUGGCGGACUGCCGAUAAGCUUGGGUUAAUUAUUUUUCUGGCUUGGACCCUGCGUGUAUCUGACAAGAACUAUUCUGUGACAUGAUUGUUAUGGUGUUUAGCCUC